CCUACGUGAGGCAGCAGUGGGGAAUAUUGGACAAUGGGGGGAACCCUGAUCCAGCGACGCCGCGUGAGUGAAGAAGUAUUUCGGUAUGUAAAGCUCUAUCAGCAGGGAAGAAAGAAAUGACGGUACCUGACUAAGAAGCCCCGGCUAACUACGUGCCAGCAGCCGCGGUAAUACGUAGGGGGCAAGCGUUAUCCGGAUUUACUGGGUGUAAAGGGAGCGUAGACGGCGAUGCAAGUCUGAAGUGAAAGGCGGGGGCCCAACCCCUGGACUGCUUUGGAAACUGUAUGGCUGGAGUGCAGGAGAGGUAAGUGGAAUUCCUAGUGUAGCGGUGAAAUGCGUAGAUAUUAGGAGGAACACCAGUGGCGAAGGCGGCUUACUGGACUGUAACUGACGUUGAGGCUCGAAAGCGUGGGGAGCAAACAGGAUUAGAUACCCCUGUAGUC
Molecule: ribosomal RNA, 443 nt
Filed under: uncultured bacterium
Lineage: Bacteria
Description: partial 16S ribosomal RNA
Rfam family: Bacterial small subunit ribosomal RNA
Source: RNAcentral